AGUGAACGCUGGCGGUAGGCCUAACACAUGCAAGUCGAACGGCAGCACAGUAAGAGCUUGCUCUUACGGGUGGCGAGUGGCGGACGGGUGAGGAAUACAUCGGAAUCUACUUUUUCGUGGGGGAUAACGUAGGGAGACUUACGCUAAUACCGCAUACGACCUACGGGUGAAAGCAGUGGAUCUUCGGACCUUGCGCGAUUGAAUGAGCCGAUGUCGGUUUAGCUAGUUGGCGGGGUAAAGGCCCACCAAGGCGACGAUCCGUAGCUGGUCUGAGAGGAUGAUCAGCCACACUGGAACUGAGACACGGUCCAGACUCCUACGGGAGGCAGCAGUGGGGAAUAGUGGACAAUGGGCGCGAGCCUGAUCCAGCCAUACCGCGUGGGUGAAGAAGGCCUUCGGGUUGGAAAGCCCUUUUGUUGGGAAAGAAAAGCAGCAGGUUAAUACCCCGCUGUUCUGACGGUACCCAAAGAAUAAGCACCGGCUAACUUCGUG
This 492-nucleotide ribosomal RNA is filed under the name uncultured bacterium. RNAcentral describes it as "partial 16S ribosomal RNA". It matches the Rfam family "Bacterial small subunit ribosomal RNA", at positions 29 to 507 of the family's 1533-position model. The record is from RNAcentral.